RNAcentral lists this long non-coding RNA (642 nucleotides) under Cricetulus griseus (Chinese hamster). RNAcentral describes it as "lncRNA (ENSCGRG00015032463.1)". The record is from RNAcentral. Lineage: Eukaryota; Metazoa; Chordata; Mammalia; Rodentia; Cricetidae.
UCUUCAUGCUGCCCAAGCAGGCUCUGGCCAAGUUCUGAGACCAUGUUCUUGGAUGCUGCUCACCCUGAAGCAGGUGCCAGGCUGUACCCUCUGCAUCACGCACGUCCACUUUGUCCUUCAGAACAUCCCCUCCUACUGUCUGUCCAGCGAUGCGCUUGCCUUUGGCACAUGAAGGGAUGGAGGCUUGAGUUGGUUCUGAGACUCACACAGACUCCUGGAGUUGGGCCAAUGAUCAUUGUAUGGAAGAUAAAUGAGGCCUGUUUCAGCUGAAGAGAAACACCUGCUAGAAAGUCCCUGCCAGCUGAAGGGCUUGUUCCACCCCUUCUCUGCUUCCUCUCUGAUUACAUGAUAGCAUCUCAAAGCUCUCUCCAUCCUUCUGUCUUGUUUUCCAUUAAAAAAAAAUCAUGCAUUGUCAUAACUGUUAUUUGUAAGCUUCCAUGCUAUUUAAACCGUGAUUAAUUAUAAUACCUCACCAAAGCAAUAACAACCUCCUAAAACGCACACCAGGCCACAUUGCUCCAUUGUCUGGAGAGCUUCCUCCCCCAGUGUGCCAGGCCCUGUGUGGUACAGGUGCAGUCUGCCUUCUCACCUCUCACCCUGUCCUUACCUUCUGCUCCUGUCCUCGUGGUGCCUCCUGCUUGC